GAUCUGGUCCAACGUAUCAAGUAGUCCAGUAAUUAAGGGGUUUCGGUGUUUGUUGACUCUUUUGCUAUAUCUGUCGCUAUAUUUUACUAUUUCCUCUUUGACUGUUGGUAUCUUGAGGUCGCGAUGGAUGGUUUCGUUGGUAACAUACCAAGGUGCGUCUAUUAAGGCUCUUAGCGUUUUCGAUUGGAAUCGUUGUAGUAUUUCGAUGUUGGAGUUACUUGCUGUUCCCUAUAGUUGGAUUCCGUAGGUCCAGACAGGUUUUAUUACGGUCUUGUAGAGGGUAAUUUUAUUCUGUAUGUUUAGUUUGGAGCGUCGGCCCGUGAGCCAAUAGAGUUUUUUUAGUUUGUCCUUUAGUUGCUUCGUUUUAUCUGAGAUGUGUGUCUUCCACGUUAGUCUCCUGUCCAGGGUCAUGCCCAGGUAUCGGACUGUGUCCCUGCUAGGAACUGUUGCAUUGUUGAUGGUGACCUGGGGGCAGGUUUGUUUUCGGAGCGUGAAGGUUACAUGUGAGGAUUUCUUUUCGUUGACUUUGAAUCCCCAUUUGUGAAACCACUUUUCCAUGGAG
Bombus huntii is the source of this 562-nucleotide long non-coding RNA. RefSeq lists it as uncharacterized. The record is from RefSeq and is a predicted model, not a curated record. The transcript is spliced from 3 exons. Lineage: Eukaryota; Metazoa; Arthropoda; Insecta; Hymenoptera; Apidae.